AGCACUUGUGUGUAUGUCUUUGUUUAAUUUGUAACAAAGCCUUACCAACAGGUGCAAAUAGUGAAUCCUCCUUUGCAAUCCAGAAUUCUUUGUUAGUAUGAAUUAUGGUACAUGUAGGAAGGAAUAUA
Small nucleolar RNA from Perognathus longimembris pacificus (Pacific pocket mouse), 128 nucleotides. RefSeq annotates it as small nucleolar RNA SNORA40. Lineage: Eukaryota; Metazoa; Chordata; Mammalia; Rodentia; Heteromyidae. The transcript has a single exon. The record is from RefSeq and is a predicted model, not a curated record.